This 564-nucleotide unclassified non-coding RNA is filed under the name Homo sapiens (human). RNAcentral's name for it is "cap binding complex dependent translation initiation factor (ENSG00000282825.2)". The record is from RNAcentral. Lineage: Eukaryota; Metazoa; Chordata; Mammalia; Primates; Hominidae.
GAGGGAUGAUGAGGACUGUGUCGUCAGGAGGUGCGAGUCCUGAGCCCUGGAGUGGCCCCACAUGAGGAAGAAAGAAUGUGAGGAGAAGUGAGCCUAGAGACCAGUGAGGCAGGAGGGAACCAGGCUGCUCCUGGAGCCCAGGAGGGGAGUCGAGGGAGUGGGAUGGGGAGACUGCCUUGCGGGCCACUGCCAGGCCAGUGGACAGCGGACUGCAGCGAACCGCUGGACAGCAGCUGUUCCUUCUCCCGAGGGCGAGCCCCCCCACAGCAGAAUGGCAGCAAAGACAACUCUCUGGACAUGCUGGGCACGGACAUCUGGGCGGCCAACACCUUCGAUUCCUUCAGUGGUGCCACCUGGGACCUGCAGCCGGAAAAGCUGGACUUCACCCAGUUCCACCGCAAAGUCCGACACACGCCCAAGCAGCCCCUGCCACACAUCGACCGCGAAGGGUGUGGCAAAGGGAAGCUGGAAGAUGGGGAUGGCAUCAACCUGAAUGACAUCGAGAAGGUCCUUCCAGCCUGGCAGGGCUACCACCCGAUGCCCCAUGAAGUGGAGAUCGCACAC